RNAcentral lists this unclassified non-coding RNA (155 nucleotides) under uncultured Capnodiales. RNAcentral describes it as "sequence contains ITS2". Lineage: Eukaryota; Fungi; Ascomycota; Dothideomycetes; Capnodiales. The record is from RNAcentral.
GUACUCUCAAGCUUUGCUUGGUGUUGGGUGUUUGUCCUUGCCUUUGUGCUUGGACUCGCCUUAAAUUCAUUGGCAGCCAAUGUAUUGGUUUGAAGCGCAGCACAAUUUGCGGUUUUGACUGAUUAUCAUUAGCGUCCAUAAAGCACAAUUAACAC